AUUACCUCGAGGAAGAGUUGGGGAACCCGAAAACGGCUCAAGGUAACAAAGGGAUAUGGUCUCAUCAACAGGAAUGCCACCAAGGAAGAUGGAUUUGUAGAGCAGACGGCCCCAAAGAACAGCCCCAGGGAAGCACCUUCGCAGGGCAGGACUUGAAGUUGCGGGCGCAGCGGGGGCGGGGCAGCCAAUGCUGCAGGUGCAGUUCCAGGGCAAAGCAGGAAACGUGCAGCCGACCGGAAGCGUCACAGACGCCGGCCACCUUGCGGGGGAUACGGGCGCCAUUACCUGCACCAGUUACCGGCAGAAAGGUGAGAGGAGCGAGAGUGGGAAAGUGAGGGACUGGAGGGGGCUAACGCAGGCCAGACCCGACAGCGCCGCCCUACCCCCCGAGCGCCAGCCCAGCGCUCCGGCCCUCCAGUGCGGGGAGAAGUGAUGCGUGGUGCGGACAGCAGGGCGCAGCCGAGCCAGGUGGAAUCGGCCCCGAGGCCCUAGACCACGGUUCUGCAGGGGCCCUGCUGACCUAAGAGCCUAGGGACAAAGGCAGUGAACGCGACAAGCAAUGUCAAGGCGACGAGACCAAGGAGAGGAGGUAGCACGGACUUGAACAGCCACCUCGUCAUCAGUACCAACACCUCUUCACUUACCGCACCCGAGGCCCAGAACACCCCAAACCGCAAGAAGGCAAAAAGACAAAAGCAGCCUCCACCGGAGAAAAUUCCUCGGCUCCAGAUGCUAAGCAAGGACUUUCACAACUGGAUCUUCCAACUUUCACAUCAGACAAGCCAGUCAAACACCAGACCAUGAAUAAUUUCCUUAUGAUUUUUGAAGUUGCCCCCAAGAUGCCCUCUGCUGAGACCCCUGCUGUCCUCAUCGUUCAUCACUGCCCAUUCCAUGUACUUCGGCUCUCCUGAGCACCCCCUUCUGUUCCCUGCUUCGGUGCCCCACACAUUCUUCCUGCCUGAACUAUGCUUCUCCUAUACAUUCUCCAGGUGAUCACCUUUUCAACUCUUAAAGUGCAUCCUCUUCUAUAAAGUCUUUCCCAAAUGCA
Molecule: long non-coding RNA, 1048 nt
Organism: Herpailurus yagouaroundi (jaguarundi)
Lineage: Eukaryota; Metazoa; Chordata; Mammalia; Carnivora; Felidae
Exons: 3
Source: RefSeq, a predicted model, not a curated record